ACCGGUCAGGGCUGGUUGACUUAUUUUAAUAGAACUUGGCUGCCUGCUGCUUCUCUGCCCCACCAGUCUGAGGCAGUGUGUCUACCCGGAGGUGUUUGGACCAUAUAUUUUUUUAGUUGAUAUAAAGGUGAAUUUAAUUACUUCCUGCAGCACAGAAGUAUGCUGAUUGUGACACAAACUCUACCUGGGGCAUUAAAACUGAAGACAGAGGGAGACUUGUGAAUUGCUCCUGUCUUCACUUGUCAGGAGAAAUCAAAUGUUAGAUAAUGCUCUUGUCAUAAAAAAUUAGAGGGAAGCUGAGGGAAUGGAAAGUUGGGAUGGGAAAUAAGGUCUAAAACAAGAGGCAUUUAUAUAUAAAGCCUCAUUUAUUUGACCAAAGCUUAAUAAAUACAUAGUUUAGCGCACAAACCCACUCUAAAUGAAAGGCAUUAGAGAAUUGUCAUCUAUAAAUGGUGAUACAUUCAAGGAUCACAUCUCUCAAAGGAAAAAUAUCCGAAAUGACAGGUUCUUUCCAGAAAACUUUCAACAGAAAAGAGAUGAUUGGUGCUAGGAUAGUGAUGCCCCACCAGUGAACUUUGCUUCCAGAAAUUUCUAGACUCUGGGUUUCUGUUUCCUCAUCUGCAAAAUGAGAGAUUAUUUUCUGAGUUACGUUACUCAAGUUUUUCUUUCUUACUCAUAGAAAGGUUCUAUAUUUUCUGUGAUUUCAGCAGAAUCAGGUGGCACAUAGUAACCCAGAUAGGUCAUUUUCAAAUUUCAUGAACUUGAGCCUUGUACAAAGCUAGUGAAUGUCAAAAUGAUGGAAAUACCUGUAGCUGUGUCUAGUCUCACAAACAUUUCUUGAAGUUAGACCCAGGGAUUAUUCGUUUUUUGUUUGAUAUAUACACUUUUUGCUUAGAGCUUUAAAAAUAUUUUGUGGUAGGAAGUUUUGUUCACUGAAAUUUGUGGAAGAAGAAUUUGUGCAUGUCUUUCUUAACUUUAUCAGCAGUAGGGAAGUUGAUAUGAUUUAAAAUAUUUUUGGUAUUACUUUGCACUUAUAUUGCAAUAUUGGGGGGGAUUCUGAAAUAUGAAUGAUGGAGAGACAUGUUAAAGAGUUUGUGCCCUGCAUGUUUAUAUAUUAAUAUUAGUAGAACUUAUAAAAUAAUAUUGAUAUGAGUGAGUCAUUGCAAUCUAGAUUUCUGGUCCUUGCUGGUGGUAAAAUAAUUGCUGAAAUGAGAAAAUAACUUUUUGAAGAAUUUAUAAAUCAAGGCAGUAACGUUUUGGUCAACAAAGCUUCAAUGGUUUCACAUACCAGCUUUAAUAAUUUUUUAAAAUGCAAAAUUCAUGUCUUAGAAGGUAAUUUGAUAGCUUUUGUUGGUCUUACAAAGCUAGAACAAGGCAAGGGUGUCUGGUCUCCUAACUCCUACUUAAUAUUGUACUGGAAGUCCUAGCCAGAACAGUAAGGCAAGAAAAAGAAAUAAUAUGCAUACAAAUUGGAA
Long non-coding RNA from Pipistrellus kuhlii (Kuhl's pipistrelle), 1475 nucleotides. RefSeq lists it as uncharacterized. Lineage: Eukaryota; Metazoa; Chordata; Mammalia; Chiroptera; Vespertilionidae. The record is from RefSeq and is a predicted model, not a curated record. The transcript is spliced from 2 exons.